RNAcentral lists this ribosomal RNA (261 nucleotides) under uncultured archaeon. RNAcentral describes it as "partial 16S ribosomal RNA". It matches the Rfam family "Archaeal small subunit ribosomal RNA", at positions 748 to 1009 of the family's 1478-position model. The record is from RNAcentral.
CAGCCGUAAACUAUGCUCGCUAGGUGUCAGGCAUGGCGCGACCGUGUCUGGUGCCGCAGGGAAGCCGUGAAGCGAGCCACCUGGGAGGUACGGCCGCAAGGCUGAAACUUAAAGGAAUUGGCGGGGGAGCACAACAACGGGUGGAGCCUGCGGUUUAAUUGGACUCAACGCCGGACAACUCACCGGGGACGACAGCAAUAUGUAGGCCAGGCUGAAGACCUUGCCUGAAUCGCUGAGAGGAGGUGCAUGGCGUAGACGUCU